GUGUACGCGGGUGGAGGAGCGCGGGUGAGACAGAGGGGGUGAGGGGUAAUCGGGAUUACGGGGCUGAAAGCGUGCGUAGGCGUGGGCGUAGGUCGGGUGUUAAAGCCCCGGGCUCAACCUGGGAAUUGCAUUCGAGACUGGGUCGCUAGGGUGCGGAAGAGGGAAGCGGAAGUUCCGGUGUAGCGGUGAAAUGCGUAGAUAUCGGAAGGAACAUCAGUGGCGAAAGCGGCUUCCUGGUCCAGCACCGACGUUCAGGCACGAAAGCGUGGGGAGCAAACAGGAUUAGAUACCCUAGUAGUC
This 300-nucleotide ribosomal RNA is filed under the name uncultured Streptomyces sp. RNAcentral describes it as "partial 16S ribosomal RNA". The stretch from base 52 to 300 matches the Rfam family "Bacterial small subunit ribosomal RNA", at positions 547 to 795 of the family's 1533-position model. Lineage: Bacteria; Bacillati; Actinomycetota; Actinomycetes; Kitasatosporales; Streptomycetaceae. The record is from RNAcentral.